Molecule: ribosomal RNA, 267 nt
Filed under: Triticum aestivum (bread wheat)
Lineage: Eukaryota; Viridiplantae; Streptophyta; Magnoliopsida; Poales; Poaceae
Description: partial small subunit ribosomal RNA
Source: RNAcentral
AUGAAGCAACGCACAGCUGCUGAAGAUGUCGAUAGGUGUGGCACGAGCAAACGCACUCGCUUCUGCAACAUAUGCCGAGAACCUGGUCACAAGAGCACAACUUGUCCGCAACGAGGAGGUCUUCCACCAAAGGAAAGGAACGAGGCUAAAUGCUCUAUAUGUGGUGUUGGUGGCCACAUGAGAAACACCUGCAACAAGCCAAAGGUUGUUCUAUAUGUUGCUGGGACAACUAACGUGGACACGAAUGCACUCACCAGUCUGAUUUGA